GCUAGCGUAGCUCAAUUGGCAGAGUUCCGGUUUUGUAAACCGGCGGUUGUGGGUUCGACUCCCACCGCUAGCU
Molecule: transfer RNA, 73 nt
Filed under: Planctomycetaceae bacterium
Lineage: Bacteria; Pseudomonadati; Planctomycetota; Planctomycetia; Planctomycetales; Planctomycetaceae
Description: tRNA-Thr
Rfam family: tRNA
About the family: Transfer RNA (tRNA) molecules are approximately 80 nucleotides in length. Their secondary structure includes four short double-helical elements and three loops (D, anti-codon, and T loops).
Source: RNAcentral